GAUGAACGCUGGCGGCGUGCCUCAAACAUGCAAGUCGAGCGAGGCUAUGAAUUACCGCAAGGUAAGGCAUAGCCUAGCGGCGAACGGGUGAGUAACACGUGGGUAACCUACCUGGGAAGACAGGGAUAACGAUUCGAAAGGGUCGCUAAUACCUGAUAAUAUCCAUCUGCCGGAUGGCGGAGGGAAGAAAGGGGAAACCCGCUUUCAGAUGGGCCCGCGUCCCAUCAGCUAGUUGGUAAGGUAAAGGCUUACCAAGGCGACGACGGGUAGCCGGUCUGAGAGGAUGUACGGCCACACUGGGACUGAGAUACGGCCCAGACUCCUACGGGAGGCAGCAGUUGGGAAUCUUAGGCAAUGGACGAAAGUCUGACCUAGCGACGCCGCGUGAGGGAAGAAGGCCUUCGGGUUGUAAACCUCUGUCAUGGGGGAAGAAGGAAGUGACGGUACCCCAAGAGGAAGCCCCUGCUAACUACGUG
RNAcentral lists this ribosomal RNA (476 nucleotides) under uncultured bacterium. RNAcentral's name for it is "bacterial SSU rRNA". It matches the Rfam family "Bacterial small subunit ribosomal RNA", at positions 28 to 507 of the family's 1533-position model. The record is from RNAcentral.